AGAGUUUGAUCCUUGCUCAGAUUGAACGCUGGCGGCAUGCCUUACACAUGCAAGUCGAACGGUAGAGGGGCAACCCUUGAGAGUGGCGAACGGGUGAGUAAUGCAUCGGAACGUGCCCAGUCGUGGGGGAUAACGCAGCGAAAGCUGUGCUAAUACCGCAUGUGAUCUGUGGAUGAAAGCGGGGGACCGAAAGGCCUCGCGCGAUUGGAGCGGCCGAUGUCAGAUUAGCUAGUUGGUAGGGUAAAAGCCUACCAAGGCGUCGAUCUGUAGCUGGUCUGAGAGGACAACCAGCCACACUGGGACUGAGACACGGCCCAGACUCCUACGGGAGGCAGCAGUGGGGAAUUUUGGACAAUGGGCGCAAGCCUGAUCCAGCAAUGCCGCGUGCAGGACGAAGGCCUUCGGGUUGUAAACUGCUUUUGUACGGAACGAAACGGUCUGGGUUAAUACCCUGGGCUACUGACGGUACCGUAAGAAUAAGCACCGGCUAACUACGUGCCAGCAGCCGCGGUAAUACGUAGGGUGCGAGCGUUAAUCGGAAUUACUGGGCGUAAAGCGUGCGCAGGCUGUUUUUGUAAGACAGGCGUGAAAUCCCCGGGCUCAACCUGGGAAUGGCGCUUGUGACUGCAAAGCUAGAGUGCGGCAGAGGGGGAUGGAAUUCCGCGUGUAGCAGUGAAAUGCGUAGAUAUGCGGAGGAACACCGAUGGCGAAGGCAAUCCCCUGGGCCUGCACUGACGCUCAUGCACGAAAGCGUGGGGAGCAAAAAGGAUUAGAUACCCUGGUAGUCCACGCCCUAAACGAAGUCAAACUGGUUGUUGGUCCUUUAGCUGGAUCAGUAACGAAGCUAACGCGUGAAGUUGACCGCCUGGGGAGUACGGCCGCAAGGAUGAGACUCAAAGGAAAUGACGGGGACCCGCACAAGCGGCGGAUGAUGUGGUUUAAUUCGAUGCAACGCGAAAAACCUUACCCACCUCUGACAUGGCAGGAAGGCUCCAGAGAUGGGGCUGUGCUCGAAAGAGAACCUGCACACAGGUGCUGCAUGGCUGUCGUCAGCUCGUGUCGUGAGAUGUUGGGUUAAGUCCCGCAACGAGCGCAACCCCCGCCCUUAGUUGCUACGAAAGGGCACUCUAAUGGGACUGCCGGUGACAAGCCGGAGGAAGGUGGGGAUGACGUCAAGUCCUUAUGGCCCUUAUAGGUGGGGGUACACACGUCAUACAAUGGCCGGUACAAAGGGUAGCCAACCCGCGAGGGGGAGCCAAUCCCAUAAAGCCGGUCGUAGUCCGGAUCGCAGUCUGCAACUCGACUGCGUGAAGUCGGAAUCGCUAGUAAUCGUGGAUCAGCAUGUCACGCCGAAAAAGUUCCCGGGUCU
Molecule: ribosomal RNA, 1369 nt
Filed under: uncultured bacterium
Lineage: Bacteria
Description: bacterial SSU rRNA
Rfam family: Bacterial small subunit ribosomal RNA
Source: RNAcentral